UAAUACAGAGGGUGCGAGCGUUGUCCGGAAUUACUGGGCGUAAAGGGCGCGUAGGCGGCCCGAUAAGUAGGACGUGAAAUUCCGCGGCUCAACCGCGGAACUGCGUUCUAGACUGUCGGGCUUGAGCACGGUAGAGGCAGAUGGAAUUCCCGGUGUAGCGGUGGAAUGCGUAGAGAUCGGGAAGAACACCAGUGGCGAAGGCGGUCUGCUGGGCCGUUGCUGACGCUGAGGCGCGACAGCGUGGGGAGCAAACAGGAUUAGAUACCCUGGUAGUCCACGCCGUAAACGAUGGGCACUAGGCGUCGGGGGGAGCGACCCUCCCGGUGCCGUCGCUAACGCUGUAAGUGCCCCGCCUGGGGAGUACGGCCGCAAGGCUG
RNAcentral lists this ribosomal RNA (377 nucleotides) under uncultured bacterium. Its description in RNAcentral is "bacterial SSU rRNA". It matches the Rfam family "Bacterial small subunit ribosomal RNA", at positions 521 to 896 of the family's 1533-position model. The record is from RNAcentral.